AGGACGAACGCUGGCGGCGUGCUUAACACAUGCAAGUCGAGCGGUAAGGCCUUUCGGGGUACACGAGCGGCGAACGGGUGAGUAACACGUGGGUGAUCUGCCCUGCACUCUGGGAUAAGCCUGGGAAACUGGGUCUAAUACCGGAUAUGACCUGCUCUCGCAUGGGGGUGGGUGGAAAGAUUUAUCGGUGCAGGAUGGGCCCGCGGCCUAUCAGCUUGGUUGGUGGGGUAAUGGCCUACCAAGGCGACGACGGGUAGCCGACCUGAGAGGGUGACCGGCCACACUGGGACUGAGACACGGCCCAGACUCCUACGGGAGGCAGCAGUGGGGAAUAUUGCACAAUGGGCGAAAGCCUGAUGCAGCGACGCCGCGUGAGGAUGAAGGCCUUCGGGUUGUAAACCGUCUUUCAGCAGGACGAAGCGCAAGUGACGGUACCUGCAGAAGAAGCACCGGCUAACUACGUGCCAGCAGCCGC
RNAcentral lists this ribosomal RNA (475 nucleotides) under uncultured soil bacterium. RNAcentral's name for it is "bacterial SSU rRNA". It matches the Rfam family "Bacterial small subunit ribosomal RNA", at positions 26 to 518 of the family's 1533-position model. The record is from RNAcentral.